This 878-nucleotide long non-coding RNA is filed under the name Homo sapiens (human). Its description in RNAcentral is "long intergenic non-protein coding RNA 1913". The record is from RNAcentral. Lineage: Eukaryota; Metazoa; Chordata; Mammalia; Primates; Hominidae.
AUGUCAUCCACUGGUCUUAUCCUUAUGGAAAUAGACAGUACACGGAUCUGGAAUGGAAGCAAAUAAUAACCGGGUCUCCAGAUUCCAUCGUAUCACAGAACAUAGAACCAAGAAAGUACCUUAGAAGUCAUCUGAUCCAGUCACCCCUGUUUUACCAAUGAGGAAUCUAGACCCAGAAGAAGUUAAAGGACUUACCCAAGAGUACCCAACAACUCUCUCACCACCCCAGGCUCCCAUCUUUGUGUCUCUCCUGUGUGAGCUGUUCCCUGAAGUUCUUCCUGAACUUGCACAUUGCCUUUCCCUUUGAUUUUAAAUCCUUGGCUCAAAUGACAUGCCCGGACUAUAUCGUGUGAUAUGAGCUUGAAAAGUAAUUUACGUACAAGUCUUGAAAGCAAAUCAAGUUUUAAAACAAAGUAGCAUCUACUCUGCCCCAGCCUUGACAUCUUAUUACAUAGCAAAUGCUGGCUUUUUAAUUUCCCUAAUCAAGACUGGUCCUAUUUAGCCCACCUCCUCAAGGGGUCCCAGCACUAGCCCCACUCCGACGCCUGAUGAAGUUCCAGAACAGUGGAAUCAAGCACAGAGAUGGGCACGCCUCUUUACAGAACCAAAGAUUCAGAACUGUGCCUUACCCUUUGCUUAUGAGGCGGAGGAGGAGGAAGAGAAAGAACCACCGCAAAGAGAGAUGGCAACAAAGGUAAAAUGAAGGCCGGGCAGCCGAUCCCACUCAGGCUGACCACAGUGAGGGAGCAGCAUUAAAAUGAGAAAGGAUCAGGUCUCGAAGCCCAGCCCUUCCCGCUGAAUCUCGUCCUUUGCUUCAUCCAUUCCAUUAAAUAAGUCAUAUUGAAAAUAAAUUAUUAUUAAUACAACAGUAGCUAACA